Molecule: ribosomal RNA, 460 nt
Filed under: uncultured bacterium
Lineage: Bacteria
Description: partial 16S ribosomal RNA
Rfam family: Bacterial small subunit ribosomal RNA
Source: RNAcentral
CCUACGGGUGGCAGCAGUGAGGAAUAUUGGUCAAUGGACGAGAGUCUGAACCAGCCAAGUAGCGUGAAGGAUGACUGCCCUCUGGGUUGUAAACUUCUUUUAUAAAGGAAUAAAACGAGGCAGGUGAGCCGUUUUGAAUGUACUUUAUGAAUAUGGAACGGCUAACUUCGUUCCAGCAGACGCGGUACUAAGGAGGAUUCGAGCGUUGUCCGGAUUUAUUGGGGUUAAAGGGACCGUAGAUGGGUUGUUAAGUCAGUGGUGAAAGUUUUGGGCUCAACCGUAGAAUGGCAAUUGAUACUGGCAGUCUUGAGUGCAGUAGAGGUAGGUGGAAUUCGAGGUGUAGCGGUGAAAUGCUUAGAUAUCGCGAAGAACCCCGAUGGCGAAGGCAGCUUACUAAACUGUGACUGACGUUGAUGCUCGAAAGUGUGGGUAGCAAACAGGAUUAGAUACCCGAGUAGUC